Molecule: ribosomal RNA, 443 nt
Filed under: uncultured soil bacterium
Lineage: Bacteria
Description: bacterial SSU rRNA
Rfam family: Bacterial small subunit ribosomal RNA
Source: RNAcentral
AGAACGAACGCUGGCGGCAGGCCUAACACAUGCAAGUCGAACGCUCUUUUCGGAGAGAGUGGCGCACGGGUGAGUAACGCGUGGGAAUCUGCCCUUUGGUUCGGAAUAACCCUGGGAAACUAGGGCUAACACCGGAUAAGCCCCGCGAGGGGGAAAGUUUACGCCGAAGGAGGAGCCCGCGUCCGAUUAGCUAGUUGGUGAGGUAAGAGCUCACCAAGGCUUCGAUCGGUAGCUGGUCUGAGAGGACGAUCAGCCACACUGGGACUGAGACACGGCCCAGACUCCUACGGGAGGCAGCAGUGGGGAAUAUUGGACAAUGGGCGCAAGCCUGAUCCAGCCAUGCCGCGUGAGUGAUGAAGGCCUUCGGGUUGUAAAGCUCUUUGGCGGGACGAUGAUGACGGUACCCGCAGAAUAAGCCCCGGCAAACUCGUGCCAGCAGCCGC